GUUAAACAAAUAUAUAUUCAGCGAAUGUAAGAGUCCGUGGUACGGCAAUAUAUGGAAAUGUGUUUCCAAUUUACUGUCAGUUUAAACAAUGUCUAAGUUACACUCAGGUUAUUCAGAACCAUCAACAUUUGGAUCAGCAUCUGGACAGCAGUCAGCACAAUAUGGCCAACAACAUCACAUUCAACAACAACCAUCACUAUACGUGCCUUUCCCAGCACAAGUCACAAUUUAAACAAUGGCAGUACCAGCUAAUGUUGAAACAAGGAUGGCUCAAUUCAUGUUUCCGUAUCAUCCUUCUGCUAACAUCAAUCCAGUUCGAAUGACAUGUCCAUCUUGUAAACAAGAAAUAAACACGACAACAAGAUAUGAGACGGGGUGUUGCACAUGGCUGUACUGCAUUUAUAUGGCGUUUAUGGGACUGUUUCUGUGUUGCUGGAUGGCAUUUCGUUGUGAUUGUACCAAAGAUGUGAUUCAUACAUGCCCACAAUGUAAAGUUGAAUGUGGUAAAUUUCAACGUCAUCAACUCGCUAGACGUAGUGGACGGCGACGAUGAAUUGUGGGUCUAUAGACGACGCUAUUAUUUGAAAAAAGGCCAA
Molecule: long non-coding RNA, 596 nt
Organism: Mytilus trossulus (common blue mussel)
Lineage: Eukaryota; Metazoa; Mollusca; Bivalvia; Mytilida; Mytilidae
Exons: 3
Source: RefSeq, a predicted model, not a curated record